GCGUCUUGUGUGGCUGGGGCGUUGGUGAUAGGUGGGGUGGGGGGGUUGGCUUGAGUGGGUGGGGGUAUGUUGUUCGUGGGGGGUUUGGCGCGACGGUGGAGAAAACUGAGGGGUUACCCCUGUGCCGGAGUGCGAUACGGGCAGGCUAGUGGUAUGCAGAGGUGGACGGAGUUCCUGGUGUAGCGGUGACAUGCGCAGAUAUCAGGAGGAACACCGGUGGCGAAGGCGGUUCUCUGGGCAUUACCUGACGCUGAGGAGCGAAAGUGUGGGGAGCGAACAGGAUUAGAUACCCUGGUAGUC
RNAcentral lists this ribosomal RNA (300 nucleotides) under uncultured Thermovibrio sp. RNAcentral's name for it is "bacterial SSU rRNA". The stretch from base 60 to 300 matches the Rfam family "Bacterial small subunit ribosomal RNA", at positions 555 to 795 of the family's 1533-position model. The record is from RNAcentral. Lineage: Bacteria; Pseudomonadati; Aquificota; Aquificia; Desulfurobacteriales; Desulfurobacteriaceae.